CCUACGGGGGGCUGCAGUCGAGAAUCAUUCACAAUGGGGGAAACCCUGAUGGUGCGACGCCGCGUGGGGGAAUGAAGGUCUUCGGAUUGUAAACCCCUGUCAUGUGGGAGCAAAUUAAAAAGAUAGUACCACAAGAGGAAGAGACGGCUAACUCUGUGCCAGCAGCCGCGGUAAUACAGAGGUCUCAAGCGUUGUUCGGAAUCACUGGGCGUAAGGCGUGCGUAGGCUGUUUCGUAAGUCGUGUGUGAAAGGCGCGGGCUCAACCCGCGGAAGGCACAUGAUACUGGGAGACUAGAGUAAUGGAGGGGGAACCGGAAUUCUCGGUGUAGCAGUGAAAUGCGUAGAUAUCGAGAGGAACACUCGUGGCGAAGGCGGGUUCCUGGACAUUAACUGACGCUGAGGCACGAAGGCCAGGGGAGCGAAAGGGAUUAGAUACCCGAGUAGUC
Molecule: ribosomal RNA, 446 nt
Filed under: uncultured bacterium
Lineage: Bacteria
Description: partial 16S ribosomal RNA
Rfam family: Bacterial small subunit ribosomal RNA
Source: RNAcentral